This 125-nucleotide small RNA is filed under the name Marmota monax (woodchuck). Lineage: Eukaryota; Metazoa; Chordata; Mammalia; Rodentia; Sciuridae. The record is from RNAcentral.
ACUGGGUGUGGUGUCACACGCCUGUAAUCCCAACAGCCUGGGAGGCUGAGGCAGGAGGAUAGCAAGUUCAAAGCCAGCCUCAGCAAAAGCAAGGCCCUAAGCAACUCAGUGAGACCCUGUCUCUA